Non-coding RNA from Oryctolagus cuniculus (rabbit), 11322 nucleotides. The record is from RefSeq and is a predicted model, not a curated record. Lineage: Eukaryota; Metazoa; Chordata; Mammalia; Lagomorpha; Leporidae.
UUUUUUUUUUUACAGGCAGAGUGGACAGUGAGAGAGAGAGACAGAGAGAAAAGUCUUCCUUUGCCGUUGGUUCACCCUCCGAUGGCCGCCACGGCCGGCGCGCUGCGCUGAUCCGAUGGCAGGAGCCAGGAGCCAGGUGCUUUUCCUGGUCUCCCAUGGGGUGCAGGGCCCAAGCACCUGGGCCAUCCUCCACUGCACUCCCUGGCCACAGCAGAGAGCUGGCCUGGAAGAGGGGCAACCGGGACAGAAUCCGGCGCCCGACCGGGACUAGAACCCGGUGUGCCGGCGCCGCUAGGUGGAGGAUUAGCCUAGUGAGCCGUGGCGCCGGCCCAUAUAAGGUUAACUUUUAUUACUUACUACCAUCUAAAACACAAUCUGUGGAUUAAAAAUGCAUCUGUUGGCCUCCAAAUGUAUUUUGUUGAUGCUACACACAGAUUUGUGAAAUUUACUCUCCAAUUCUAGGACUCACUUUCAGAGGAUCAUUACCCCCCACCCAGACUCUGCCAGUGACCUUCCUCUGGUCUUCUCUCCACUCCUGCCUCCCACUACUGUCGGAUCCAUUGCCUGGAGGUCCAGCCUCUGAGAUUCACGUUUCUCAUCACAAAAAUGUCUGCACUUCCUAAUGCCAGCAGCUUUGCUUGCUUCUCACAACAUGGUCUAUGGAAUACUAGUCUGUGAGCAGAGUUUUAAGAAAAAAAAUUAUCAUGGAAUGGAUAUCCUUUGCUCAAAAUAACACAGGGAAAUGCUGUGAAUUUUACCUCCUUUCUGGACGUUCAUAAUGCACACUAGCCAGUGAAGGCGCUGAGCAAUUCUGCAAUACAAACCCAAUUCAACCAUCUUAAUGUAGUGUUUCCCACACCUGUCAGGCCAUACACUGUGCUGAACUCAUGUUAAUACCCUGAAGACACCGUGUUCUAUGGAAAAUCCUCUGGGAAUCACUGGCUUCCUGGAAUAUCAUUCAAGGCCUUCUGUACUCUGACCCCAGUCACAUCUUCCAAGUACCAGGUCUGACUUUUCUUUUUCUCCCUUUGAUUCUCUCUACCUUAGAAGUCAUUUGUAGUUGUUACUGAAUUCCUAUUUGUUGAAAUUUGCUAUGUGUUCAAAUUUCAGAUUAUCCAGGAAGUCUUACACAAACCUUCUAAUCAGAAUUAAUCUUUUCUUGCUCUAAGUCCUCAUAGUAGUUAUGCAUUCUAUAGUAGUGACAAUGACAUCAAGUCCUGACUCACUGCUUUGCAGGUUACCAGCAACAGGCAUUUCUCAUCUACAAAAUGGAUACAAUGUGGCAUUUACUAUCCUACUGUUGUUCUGGGAGUUAAGAAAUAGAAUGAAUGUGAGUGUAUUAAAUCUAAGGUUAUGAAGCCAAAUAUUAUAUAGAAUUCAUCUUUGUACUCUCCAGUGAGGAGUCUGGUUCAGUCCUGACUGUAACAGAUCUUGAACUGUGUUUGCUAGAUUAUUAUGCGUGAUUACAGCUAGAUUCCUGAGUGUGGUAUUUUCAUAACAGACUGAUGGUCUAAAGUAUCUGUGCCCCUGUGGGGGAUUUGUUUUAAGCCACGAUAAUGCAUCUUAACUGUGCCCUUCUAUACUGGAUGGGUUCUGGAAAGUCACUUACCCUCACUGAAAUUCAGUUUUCAGAUUUGUAAAAAUUGAGCAGCUAGCUAAAUCAGUGACUCUUAAAAUUUUUCAAACCACCCACAGUCAUCAAAAAUUAACUUCCAGUUGUUUUUUAAAACAGUAAUAAUUUCAGUAAUAAUUAGUGAUUCCUUUUUCUCUAAUAAGUCAUAUUUAAAAACUUGAUGUUUUUAUUUGUUGCUUCAGCUGUAUCACCUGAAGGCUGACAUCUCCCUCUAGACUUUCUUAAAUACUGAACCACAAGGCUCAGACACUGUGAUCUUCAUUGCUCCCUGUUAUAUAAGGAACAUAAACUGGCAAUUACCUCCCUUAAUAUUUACAAUUCCAUUUUGCUUAAAAAUUCUAUGAAAUUCUGAGAUAAACCAGACCAUUCAAGACUCAGUUGUUGUACAGUUUGUUCACCUUUUCUAUAUGUUGAAAAGGCACCAAAGACAUGAGACCCAGUGUAGAGAGACAGGAUUCUCAGCGAGAAGGAUGAGUAGGCAUUGCCCAGACAAAUAAGGCAAUGAGAGGGUGGAAGCGGAUCUGGGCAGAGGUUGCUUGUACACAGAUCCAAAUAUAAGACAGAUUACAGAGAAUGUGAUCCAUGGCUGAACUCUCUGUGUGUGUGUGUGUGUGUGUGUGGUGUAACAAUGGGAAGAACAGAGUUAGGGCUUCUACCAUGAGCUGGAGAGGCUGAGUGUUAACUGAGGACCAAAGAGUCUUAUAAUCCACAUUAAGGCAUUUAUCCUAAGGACAGUGAAAAAUAAGUGAGAAGGUUUCUUUGGUUAUUAUUUUUAAGUUUCUAUAUGAGAGGCAGAGAGACAGAGUGAGCUUCUGUUGUCUGGUUCAUUUCCUAUAUACCUGUGAUGGACUGAAGCUUGGAGCAAGGAAUCCAAUCCAAGUAUCCUAUAUAGGUGGCUGGCACCCAACUCUUUGAGCCAUCACUGCUGCCUCCCAGAGUCUGCAUGAGCAGAAAGUCAGAGUCAUGAGCCAGAACAGGUAUUAUACCCACGCACUCCCCUGUGACAUGUGGGCGUCGUAACUGGCAAGUUAACCACCAAACCAAACACCCACUCAUACUGAAAAAGUGCAAGUAGAAGAAAAACCUGGCACAUUUUGAAUGUUGAAACCAUCACUCCAGAAGUUGAGUGGAGAAUAACUUGGUUGGUAGGUGGAGAGGUAAGACUAAACCCUGAGCCAAUCGAUGUUACCAUGGCUGAACAGAGUACCCAAGAUUUGUGCUUUUAUUCAAACUGAAUAAUGAAAUCAAUACAGUAGGUCAUGGACAGUAUUUCUUUAAAGAAAGAAGAUGAAAAGAAGAGAAAAUAUUAGUGCAUAUUUCAUGUUAGGGUAUAUUAAUUCAUGAAACUCUUACAUAGAUUAUCACUCAAGUAUGUUUGGGCUCUGUGUGCAUUUGUACUGGGUAACAGCAUAAAAUGCAUUUCUGUGAUGAGGUAAAAAACAGGUUACCCUCCCCCUACCCCCCAUGAUUCCAGACCUCAGGAAGCCUUCUUAGAAAUGCCUGCUCCAAAUCACCCUGAGAACCAUGUGGUAGACAGCAACAAAGCACCACAAAUCUGCCACUGGAAAAUGGGGCUCAAGGGAGCAGCUCCUAUUGCUGACACACAGUCGCGUUCCAAUAGGUUCAAAAUAAAAGAAGAACUUGCCUCGGAAGAUCCAUGAAAGGAUGGCUCAUAUGGAUGCAUGGGUUUAAUGUAUUUCACGGUUGGCAUUGGCAGUUCUGGGUCCUCUCUGUGGUGUUAGAUAUUUGUGGUCUCCUCAGUUUCCUGUGGUUUGGUCCCCUUUUUGCUCAACAUUUACCAUGGGACAGCCGGGAGAAGCCAUCUGCUCAGAGAACUUCAAAAUGUGUUUUGGUUUACAUUCUGUUACAGUGAAGUCAAUGCAAAUUGUUUUUACGAUCUUUCCUAAAAAACAAUUUUUAUUUUACUUGUUUUGGGGAGGGGGGAUAAUAAGGGGAAUAAACAAGUACUGGUUGUGGUUUAUAAUAUGGUGUUGUCCUCACUUAAAAAAUCAGUCCAACAGAUGUUAGUUUUGAUCAUUGUUGUCUGUGGGAAUCUACAUUUUACUAUUUUUAAAUGCUGUUUGGAUGAGAUUCAUCUUACUAAUUUCCAUUGAGGUAUAUUCACUGCAACAGUGGUGACCUUCCAUAGACUCCUUUCUUUCCCUAUUUUUUCAUAAAUUGCACAAAUACUUUCUUGAACUUGAGGAUGACCUGAACUUAUUUAAUACUCCUUCAAAGGCCAACUGAAAGGCAUUAUUUCUCAUAGAGAAGGCUUUCAAUAAGAGUUCAGAGUGAAUUAGAUGGAACCUCAAAGUGAACUGAACCUCAUUUCUACUAAUUUUGCAGACGGGUAGUAGAGCUUAAAGCAGUGUGAGCUUCCUGGUGAUCAGACCUGGGCCUAGCAAUGAGCUCAGGAAGACUAGAUGAGGGUCUUUUCUGUUGGCCUCACUCUUAAAUACUCGGCCAUAGCUCCUCUAAGAGGGCAGUUACAUGGGAAGCACUGGCCAUGCAAAUCAGAUAAAAGUCAGCAUAGAUUUUGUUACUGGCAAGAAAGCUGCAAAAGUCAUUGAUGUAGGAUCAGACAUUUUAUUUACUGGUUGAGUUUAUUAACAUAGGAGUCUCCAGGAAAAAAAAAAGGUAGCUUAUUAAGAGUAUUGACUGUGUCAGAUAACAAGAUGGAAGAAAAAGUUUCCCACGAUUUCUUAAUGCUUCUUAUCUGACAUAUAGAUUAUUUUCCCUCUAGACUUACAAGUAUUGAGAGUGUGUAAGUUAUAUCCAGAAGAAUGAUGCAAAUCACACACUGAAGUUACAAUGGAAGAGGAGAAAUUUCUAUAUUUUCAACCAGGGUUUCUCCAACUCGGUACUAAUGACAUUUCAGACCAGAAAAUUCUUUGUUGUGUGUCUGUCCUGUGGUUAUAGGCACCUCAGAAGCAUCGCUGGCCUCUCCUCACGAGACAUCAAUCACACAUUCCCAAUUAAGACAACCAAAAUAGUCUCUAGAGGUUGCCGAGUGUCCCCUAGGGGAUGAAACAGCCCCGUAAGUGAGAAUCACUGGUUUAGAAAACUCUGGAUGUUUGAAAUUUAAGGGGAGAAUGCCUCUAUGAAGGAAGGUUGUUAUUACCUCUCAUUAUAAAUGUGAUAAGUACCUAAAUGUAUAAAAUAUGGAAGCAUAUGUUACUCAAAUAAUACCAAAUUGCUUCAAGGUUGGUCUUAGCAUGUUGCCAACAGUCAACACAGUCAGAAAUUGGACUUUCAAAAAUCAACGAAAAUACAAAAUCUCCCCAUGAAAAAUGGGGACAAGAAAGACAGUUCACGCUCUGAAAUCCCUCUUCAUCCAUCUUAUCAUAGCAUUAGCUCUUCCACAGUCUUUUCUCUCUCAGAAUUGGCCCCAAACUCCAGUUCCCUCUGCCUUUCCUGCCUCCUUACUCUACCCAUGUGCUGCUGUCCCUCUACUCAGUCCUUCUACAAGAGUCUCUCUGGCCUUUCCCAUCUAGAUUAGUGUAGUUUCUUUCCACACGGUUGCCUUACCCUUGCUUUCCACUGGGUUGCCAAAUCUUCCUUGGAAUGCUCUGAGAAGAGGGAAGGUUAUUAAUGUGUAGGUUAAGAAUAUUUUUAUUUUGAACACUUCGACAUGCCGAGACAGGCAACUGUAGACACUUUGCCUUUGAUUUCUAUCUUAAGAACUUUCCUAAAUAUUUUCCCCAUGCAUGUCAGCCGUACCUACUGUAGCUUGGACUUGCUAGUCCAAGUACACUCUAUGGUCCUGCUGGAUCAAUGCUGCCUGGGAAUUUGUGAAAAAGGCAGAAUCUCAGACCACACCCCACACCUACUGAAUAACUCCCCAUAUGACCAAAUACUGUGGUGGACUCAGGAUGUUAGAAGCCAGUCCCAGGGGCCAGCAUUAUAGUGUAAAUGAGUAAAGCCACCUCUUGGGACACCAAUGCUGAUAUCCCAUAUGGGUGCUGGUUUGAGUCCCGGCUUCUCCAUUUCCAACCCAGCUCCCUGCUAAUGGCCUGAGAAAAGCAGCGGAAAAUGGUCCAAGUGUUUUGGGCCCUGCCACCCACAUGGGAGACCUGGAAGAAGCUCCUGGUUCCUUGGCUUCAACCUGGCUCAGCUCUGGCCUUUGUGGUCACUUGGGGAGUGAACAAGUGGAUGCAAGCCAUCUGUCUGUCUCUCUCUUUGUAACUCUGACUUUCAAAUAAAUCCUUUUUUAUUUUUAAAAGUAGCUCAUCCCACGACAGGUAUUCCAUAUCCCAGUGGUUCUCAAACCAAAGCACAAAUCAUGCUCACUUGGGGGACUUGCAAAAAUGCAGAUUCUGGAGCUCCCUCUUCUCUCUGGAGUUUUGAAUUGUGUUAGUCUGUAGUAUAGUCUAGUAAUUUGCAUUUCAAACUCCCAGGUGGUCUGUGAGCAGAGUUUGGGAACCACUGUUAUGACCAAAUAAAGUAAGGAACUCCUAAAAGGUAGAUGAAAUUAAAACAGUUGAUUUUUCUGAUAGGUCUUCUUUGAGCCUUUAUUUUCAUUUUUUGAAAUAUUUAUUUAUUAUAUUAUGUUUAUUUAUUUUUAUAUAUUUAUUUUAUUUAUUUGAAAGAGAGAGAGAGGUCUUCCAUCUGCUGGUUCACUCCCCAAAUGGCUGUAACAGCUGGAGUUUAGCCAAUCUAAAGUAAGGAGCCAGGAGCUUCUUCCGGGUCUCCAAUGUGGGUGCAGGGACCCAAGGAUUUUUUAUUUAUUUAUUUUUUUUGCCAGGCAGAGUGGACAGUGAGAGAGAGAGACAGAGUCUUCCUUUUGCCGUUGGUUCACUGUCCAAUGGCCGGCGCGGCCGGCAUGCUGUAGCCAACGCACCGCGCUGAUCCGAUGGCAGGAGCCAGGUACUUAUCCUGGUCUCCCAUGGGGUGCAGGGCCCAAGUACUUGGGCCAUCCUCCACUGCACUCCCUGGCCACAGCAGAGAGCUGGCCUGGAAGAGGGGCAACCGGGACAGAAUCCGGCGCCCCGACCGGGACUAGAACCUCGUGUGCUGGCGCCGCAAGGUGGAGGAUUAGCCUAGUGAGCCACGGCGCUGGCCAGGACCCAAGGAUUUGUGCCUUCUUCUACUGCUUUCCCAGGCCAUAGCAGAGAGCUAGAUCUGAAAAGGAGCAGCUGGGACUCAAACCAGCAUCCAUGUGGGAUGCCAGUGCUGCAGGCUAGGGCUUUAACCUGCUAUGCCACAGCACUGGCCCCUGAAAUAUUUAUUUUUUCCAACUGCUUGAAAGGCAGAGUGAUAAAAGAGAUAGAGUAAGAGAGAUUUUUCAUCUGCUGGUUCAUUUCCCAAGUGCCUGCAAUAGCCAGUACUGGGUCUGGCCAAAGCCUAUACCUUGAAACGCUAUCCGGGUCUCUCACAUGGGCAACAGGAACUCAAUUACUGGACCAGGAUCUGCUACCUCUCAGGAUGCAUUAGUCGGCAGCUGGAUCACAAGCAGAGCCCUUAGGUCUCUGAUAGGGAAUGCUGGCUGUCCCAAGUGAUGGCUUAACCUACUGUGUGACAAUACUUGGCCCCCUCAAAGCCUUCAAUGUGCUAAUACUUGGUUUUUCAAACUCUUUGGGCCACUGGAUACAAGUUUUUUAAAAAAUAUCACUAUAGGUUAGUGUUCCACAAAAUGAACUUUGGGAACCACUGUUCUACUAACAAUAGAGCCUGGCAGUUUUGACUGGAAAAAAAAAAAGCUGAGUGGAAUAAAAUGACCUCUUGGGAUGGGGUGGGGAGAUGGGAUAGUCUUGGUUUUGGUGUCGGGUCAGCACAGCUGUUGUGUCUUUUAAGCAAAUGAAUAGCACAUUUCUCCAAGGGAUUUGUACAGGUUGAAAAUAAAUUCUGAAUUAUUGAGAUUCACAUAACAUAGAACAUAAAUUAGACGGGGAUACAAAAUAUAUCUGUACCGACAUUAGAAUGUCUCUUUUUUCCCCCAUCUUGAAAUACAAGCCAAGAAUAGAACGUUGAUUAAACAGAGAGCACUGACAUUUUAUUCCUGUGGUGCUGGAUAGCAGCCUAGACAAAGAGCCGGUUAAAUUCCAAAGACAAAGAGCCCUUUUGUGAGGCAGCAAAGUUCAUGUGGGAGAAAUAUUAAGCGAGGUCUCCAAUGUCUUUACCUACAACACUCAUUGGGAGGCAAUGGGUAAAACCAUGCUUAAAAUAUAUGGGAACAGAGGGGUGAAGGAAUGUAUUAAAGGUUGGAAUUGAAAUCCACAUGAAACUCACUUGUUGUCUCCAGUGAGGGAAAUUUGUACCAGGAAAUGAAAAUCAAAAUAGUCAAUGAGAUAGGAGAAAGAAAAUGCACUCUUCCAAGCAAGCAAAACAUGAAGUGUCUAUUAUUAUCACAUUCUCUAUGGAGAGGAGAUACAGGAGUGGACAAGAUGAAUAUUUUCUCUACCUUUAAAGAUCCUACACUGUCAUUAGGAGUAUAGGCUUAAAAAUAAUAAAAGAAUAAAUCAAUUAAGUGUUUGAAGAUAACAAGAAGGGGGCAUAGGGGCUGGCGCCAUGGCUCACUUGGUUAAUUCUCUGCCUGUGGCACCGGCAUCCCAUAUGGGCACUGGGUUCUAGUCCUGGUUGCUCCUCUUCCAGUCCAUCUCUCUGCUGUGGCCCGGGAGUGCAGUGGAGGAUGGCCCAAGUGCUUGGGCCCCGCACCUGCAUGGGAGACCAGGAGGAAGCACCUGGCUCCUGGCUUCGGAUCGGCGCAGCGUGCCGGCUGGAGCGGCCAUUUAGGGGGUGAACCAACAGAAAGAAGACCUUUCUCUCUGUCUCUCUCUCUCUCACUGUCUAUAAUUCUACCUGUCAAAUAAAAAAAAAGAAGGGGGUAGAGAAACAGGGUUCGGUACAGUUGCUUUAGAAAAUGUGCUAUUGGAACGCCACUCUAAUGAUUUAUUUGGGUUAAGAAAUAAGGAAGAGAAAAAGUGACCUGUGUGAGGGCCAGUACUGUGGUACAGCAGAUUAAGCUGCCUCAGUGCUAGGUUUGAGUCUGGACUGCUGUGUUUCCCAACCAACUUCCUGCUAAUGUACUUGGGAAAGCAGCAGAAAAUAGCCCAAGUACUUGAGCCCCUGCCACUCACAAUGGAGACCUGGAUAGAGUUCCUGGCUCCUGGCUUCCACGUGGUCCAUCCUUGGCCAUAUGGCCAUUUGGGGAGUGAACCAGCAGAUGAAACCCCCCCCCCCCCACACACACACACACAUUCUCUCUCUGUACUUCUGUUUCUCUGGCUUACAAUUAAAAUAAUGAAUCUUUAAAAAAGAAUGUUCUAGAAAUCCUUAGCAAUAUGUGCAAAGGACUGGAAAUGAGAAGAGACCACAUUGGCUGAACACUUGCUUUGGGUUGAGUAUGAGUCUGUGUGUCAGUUUGGAAUGGGGGCCAGUGUUCACGAACAGGCCAUUGUUGGCUUCCUGGUAUGGGUCAUUUCAUUCCCCAUAAUUUGUUCAACUUGGCCCCAAAUGCUAUGUGAUGAUCUCUGCCAAAUUAUAGAACAAAUAAAUCGCUUGGCCAGUCCUAUAUGCAGAGUCAUAUGUAGUAUUACUGCUAAUCUUGCCAAAGGAUUCCUUUAUAGCCCCUGCCUGUGGUUAAGAGCUAUUCUUGAUGCUUUGGUUUGACUAUGUCUCCCAGAGUUCAUGGGUUGGAAACUAAAUACCCAACUCAACAGUGUUGGAAGGUGGGUCCUUUAAGAGGUCAUUAGGUCAAGAGGGUUCCACCUUCAUAAACAGAUUAAUGUCAUUAUCACUGGGGUGGGAUUCUGAUAAAUACAACGAAUUCAGCCCGGUUUCCUCUGUUUAGGCACAUUCGCAUGCGCUUCCGCCAGGUGAUGACGAACCAGCAUCCUGUGCUUUGACUUUCCAUCCUGCAGAACUAGCAAUGAACACCCUAUUCAGUGGUCUUCACUGGUUCUCCAAUAUUUUCAACACCACUCUCGGGAUAGAAUUCUCCAUAUAAGGUACACGGAGCAGUGCGGAUAAAACAGUGGGGUAUACGAGCCCUCUCUUCUGCCCUCCUGCACGCCUUGGAAAGUGCCACAGAAACCUCCCUCACUAGACUCUGCCUCUGCCGAAUAGGGACCUAAGUUUAUUUUUCAAACCAAUCAUACAAAUUUGCCAAAUUCUACCUCACUUGUUCUUACUGCUAGAAGUUUGAUCCAUCUAGGAUAAAAUACCCUGUGAGUACCAAUCAACAGCCCUCUUUUUUAUAAACAAUUGAAGGAAUAUCACAAUUACUGUUCCAGGCCUGCAAAAACCCUUCGAAGUCUUGGAGUCACAUAGGCUGAAGGUGAAAUCCCAACUCGACCCUAAUUUAGCUGAACAAACCGGAGCAGAUCAUAUCAUCUUUGUUUGAUCAUCUGAAAAAUAAGCAUAAGACAGUCCCUACCUCGCAGAGAUUUAAUGGAAACCAAAUAAUGUAAUUUACAUUCUGGUUUUCUAUUAAGGCAAAAAUCACCUCAAUAGUCAAUGGCUUAAAAUAACCAUUUAUUUUUCUCCCUCACAGUUCUGGGGGUUGACAGGCUUGGAUAGGGAGGGGUACUCCCACGGAGUCCCUUCCGAGGUUGCAGUCAGGUGGUAGGUGAGGCUGGGCCUUCUUUGCACAUGUCUGGGGUGGCUAGACUAGCUGGGUUGCAGCCAGUUAGGUCUUCCCAUUCCUCUGAGACUAAUUUGGCCUUAUUUACAGCUUGGUGGGCUCAAGGUUAUUGGAUUUCUUAUCUGGUAGCUGGCUUCUCAGUGAACAGGUGUUCUGGCAGACAAGAAGUGGAAGCUGCUCAUCUAUGAGGGCCUGGGCCUGGGUAUGGUCACAGUAUCACCUGCUCCAUACCCUUCCUCUCAAGGCAGUUUCAGGGCUCAUGAGCUUCAGGGGGUGAGGUCAGACACUCAACUCUCAGGGGACAGAAUACUGAUAAAUCUGUGGCCAUGUCUUGUCUACUGCAAUCUGCGUAGCCUAUGGUACAGUGCCUGCAUAUACUGUUAUAAUAUUUAUAAUAUUUCAAUGCAAUCUGUUAUAAUAGUAACUCAAGGUUAUCCAGAUCACCUUGUAGCAAAGCCCCCCUAGUCUUCUCACAAGCUAAAUGCAUGAUAGGAUCUGCAAAUGUGAAGGGUGGAGACAGGAAAGUGACCAAUUCAAUCACUGAAAAGGAACAUUACUUCCCUGUCAGAGGCACUGAGUCACCCUCUGUCUGUUAGGCACCAGGGAACUGCAGGAAGUUGCUGUCAUAGUUCUACCAAUGUAGCUAUUGUGAGGUCACAUACAAGAGGGGGCAGCCGGGAGACUCAUCUCAUUGCCAGAGCAGGGUGUUCUGAGUGCCUUUGUGUACAAGAGGACAUCAUCAGCAGGAAACAGGAUGUGCCAGUGUGACUGCCACCGAGCAAAAUCACUGCCUGUAAGGUCCCAGUGACACGAGGCUGGGAACAUGGGUCCAGUGUCCCUCCAUGGAAGGAUUAAGGCACUUCAGUCUCAGGAUGUAAAGGAGAGAACUUGGUGCUUCAGCUUUUUUUCAUUUUUAAUUCUGAGCCAUGAAUGUGGGUGACUUCUGAAGAAAAUAAAAGACAAUAUAGUCUACUGGGAAACAAUGAAAAAAGAGCCAAGAGGUCUUAAAUUGGGAAUAAGAACUGUGGUAUCAAGAUUUGGAAAACACCUGGAAUCAUACCAGCACCUAUAAGCCUAUUUGAAUAAAACUCUUCCCUGCCAUUGGCCA